This 458-nucleotide ribosomal RNA is filed under the name uncultured bacterium. RNAcentral describes it as "bacterial SSU rRNA". It matches the Rfam family "Bacterial small subunit ribosomal RNA", at positions 340 to 786 of the family's 1533-position model. The record is from RNAcentral.
UACGGAAGGCAGCAGUGGGGAAUAUUGCACAAUGGGCGCAAGCCUGAUGCAGCCAUGCCGCGUGUAUGAAGAAGGCCUUCGGGUUGUAAAGUACUUUCAGUCGUGAGGAAGGUGUUAAGGUUAAUAACCUUAGCAAUUGACGUUAGCGACAGAAGAAGCACCGGCUAACUCCGUGCCAGCAGCCGCGGUAAUACGGAGGGUGCGAGCGUUAAUCGGAAUUACUGGGCGUAAAGGGCACGCAGGCGGUUAAUUAAGUUGGAUGUGAAAUCCCCGGGCUUAACCUGGGAAUGGCAUUCAAGACUGGUUAGCUAGAGUCUUGGUAGAGGGGGUAGAAUUCCGAUGUGUAGCGGUGAAAUGCGUAGAGAUGUGGAGGAAUACCGGUGGCGAAGGCGGCCCCUGGGACAAAGGACUGACGCUCAUGUGCGAAAGCGUGGGGAGCGAAACAGGGAUUAGAUACC